This 433-nucleotide ribosomal RNA is filed under the name uncultured bacterium. Its description in RNAcentral is "partial 16S ribosomal RNA". It matches the Rfam family "Bacterial small subunit ribosomal RNA", at positions 29 to 507 of the family's 1533-position model. The record is from RNAcentral.
AACGAACGCUGGCGGCAUGCCUAACACAUGCAAGUCGAACGAGACCUUCGGGUCUAGUGGCGCACGGGUGCGUAACGCGUGGGAACCUGCCCUUAGGUUCGGAAUAACUCCCCGAAAGGGGUGCUAAUACCGGAUAAUGUCUUCGGACCAAAGAUUUAUCGCCUUUGGAUGGGCCCGCGUUGGAUUAGCUAGUUGGUAGGGUAAAAGCCUACCAAGGCGACGAUCCAUAGCUGGUCUGAGAGGAUGAUCAGCCACACUGGGACUGAGACACGGCCCAGACUCCUACGGGAGGCAGCAGUGGGGAAUAUUGGACCACGGGCGAAAGCCUGAUCCAGCACUGCCGGGUGAGUGAUGAAGGCCUUAGGGUUGUAAAGCUCUUUUACCCGGGAUGAUAAUGACAGUACCGGGAGAAUAAGCUCCGGCUAACUCCGUG